AUGGUGUGGAGACUAACUGGAGUAUACGGGGAGUCCGAGGCGGGGAGGAAGAAAGAGACGUGGAGGGCGUUGAAGCUGCUAGGGCAACAUCACCAACGGGGAAGGCUGUGGCUGUGUGUAGGAGAUUUCAACGAGAUUCUGUCGUGUGAUGAGAAGGAAGGAGGAGCGGCCAGAACCCAAAGGUGUAUGGACGAUUUUAGGGAGGCCCUUGACUCUUGUGAGCUGACGGACAUUGGUUACAUUGGAGAUAAGUUCACGGAUCUCAACACUUAUAUUCGGGAAAGGUUGGACAGAGCUACGGCGAAUGCAUACUGGUGCGAGGUGUCCCCUGAUUUCUCCGUCAUAAACGGAUACCCAAGGCAUUCAGAUCAUCGGCCAGUCAUCAUUCAAACUUCUGGUGCUAGACCUGGGGUUCGGAAUGAAGGGAGAACCUUCCAGUUUGAAGCGUGGUGGUUGCAAGAGGAAGGUUGUUCGGAAGUGAUAGGGGAGGCAUGGGAGGCGGGGUUGUAUGGAGGUCAAGGUGGGGUUAGCGCUGCUAUGAAAAACGUCGCGACACUAGUAGAAAAGGAGGCUUUUGUCCCAGUUGGUAAGGGCCUUUAG
RNAcentral lists this ribosomal RNA (600 nucleotides) under Triticum aestivum (bread wheat). RNAcentral's name for it is "partial small subunit ribosomal RNA". Lineage: Eukaryota; Viridiplantae; Streptophyta; Magnoliopsida; Poales; Poaceae. The record is from RNAcentral.